This 251-nucleotide ribosomal RNA is filed under the name uncultured prokaryote. RNAcentral's name for it is "partial 16S rRNA". It matches the Rfam family "Bacterial small subunit ribosomal RNA", at positions 525 to 775 of the family's 1533-position model. The record is from RNAcentral.
ACGUAGGGGGCGAGCGUUGUCCGGAAUUACUGGGCGUAAAGGGUGCGUAGGUGGCGUUUUAAGUUGGAUGUGAAAUCCCCGGGCUUAACUUGGGGGGUGCAUCUAAUACUGGAAGGCUAGAGUGCAGGAGAGGGGAGUGGAAUUCCUAGUGUAGCAGUGAAAUGCGUAGAUAUUAGGAGGAACACCAGUGGCGAAGGCGGCUUUCUGGACUAUAACUGACACUGAGGCACGAAAGCGUGGGGAGCAAACAG